Prionailurus viverrinus (fishing cat) is the source of this 6414-nucleotide RNA transcript. It is a transcript of the gene named insulin receptor substrate 2, with no coding region annotated. The record is from RefSeq and is a predicted model, not a curated record. NCBI's taxonomy places the organism in Eukaryota, Metazoa, Chordata, Mammalia, Carnivora, Felidae. The transcript is spliced from 3 exons.
GUUACUCGCUGUGCGGCGGGGACCGCGACGAUCCCGGGUCGCCGUUGGCAGCGGCGGCGGCGGCGGCAGCAGCAGCAGCAGCAGCAGCCCGGGUGGCGGCGCGGACCCCGAGUGCCCGGGCGCACCCCGGCACCCCGGAGCGCGGCGGGGCGGCGGGACCGGUGCGGCCGCGCGCGCCUUAAGCUCGGCCCCGCGGCUCGGGGACCCCGACUCCCGGCCCAGCCAGCGAGUCCCCAGGCGCCGCCCGAGAGCCCGGGAGGCAAGCGGCCGCGGGGAGCCGGGCCAGGGGGCGGCCACCGCCCGCGCCGGGCAUCCUCUGGGGCCCGGGAGCGCGGAGGGCGCUGCGCCACCGCGCGGUGCCGGCCCCCGCGGGCCUCCCCCGACCUUCCCCACCUCCUGGGCCCGAGGGACGCGGGCUCGGGCGGGCGAGCAGGGGGUAGGGUGGGGGGGCGGGGAGGGAGCCGCCCCCGCCCGCGCCCCCUCCGCUGUCCCGCGGCUCCUCCACGGCGGGCCGGGCGGCGCGGCCUGAGACGCCGGCGAUGGCGAGCCCGCCGCUGCACGGGCCCCCCGGGCCGGCGGGUGGCGACGGCCCCAACCUCAACAACAACAACAACAACAACAACCACAGCGUGCGCAAGUGCGGUUACCUGCGCAAGCAGAAGCACGGCCACAAGCGCUUCUUCGUGCUGCGCGGGCCCGGCGACGAGGCGGCGGCGGCGGGCGGGGGGCCGGCGCCGCAGCCGCCGCGGCUCGAGUACUACGAGAGCGAGAAGAAGUGGCGGAGCAAGGCGGGCGCCCCGAAGCGGGUCAUCGCGCUCGACUGCUGCCUGAACAUCAACAAGCGCGCCGACGCCAAGCACAAGUACCUGAUCGCGCUCUACACCAAGGACGAGUACUUCGCCGUGGCGGCCGAGAACGAGCAGGAGCAGGAGGGCUGGUACCGCGCGCUCACCGACCUGGUCAGCGAGGGCCGCGCGGGCGCCGGCGACGCGCCCCCCGCCGCCGCCGCCACCGCCGCGUCCUGCAGCGCCUCCCUGCCCGGCGCCCUGGGCGGCUCGGCCGGCGCCGCCGCGGCCGAUGACAGCUACGGGCUGGUGGCGCCCGCCUCGGCCGCCUACCGCGAGGUGUGGCAGGUGAACCUGAAGCCCAAGGGCCUGGGCCAGAGCAGGAACCUGACGGGCGUGUACCGCCUGUGCCUGUCGGCGCGCACCAUCGGCUUUGUGAAACUUAACUGUGAGCAGCCGUCGGUGACGCUGCAGCUCAUGAACAUUCGCCGCUGCGGCCACUCGGACAGCUUCUUCUUCAUCGAGGUGGGCCGGUCGGCCGUCACGGGCCCAGGUGAGCUGUGGAUGCAGGCCGACGACUCGGUGGUGGCGCAGAACAUCCACGAGACCAUCUUGGAGGCCAUGAAGGCGCUCAAGGAGCUCUUCGAGUUCCGGCCGCGCAGCAAGAGCCAGUCGUCUGGCUCGUCCUCCACACACCCCAUCAGCGUCCCCGGCGCGCGCCGCCACCACCACCUGGUCAACCUGCCCCCCAGCCAGACGGGCCUGGUGCGCCGCUCGCGCACCGACAGCCUGGCCGCCACCCCGCCGGCAGCCAAGUGCAGCUCGUGUCGGGUGCGCACGGCCAGCGAGGGCGACGGCGGCGCGGCGGCGGCGGGGGCCGGGGCGGCGGGCGGCAGGCCCGUGUCGGUGGCCGGGAGUCCCCUGAGCCCCGGGCCGGUGCGAACGCCCCUGAGCCGCUCACACACCCUGAGCGGCGGCGGCGGCGGCGGCGGCGGCCGCGCGGGCAAGGUGGCGCUGGCGCCGGCAGGGGGCGCCCUGCAACACAGCCGCUCCAUGUCCAUGCCCGUGGCGCACUCUCCCCCAGCAGCCACCAGCCCUAGCAGCCUGUCGUCCAGCAGCGGGCACGGCUCCGGCUCCUACCCACCGCCUCCGGGCCCGCACCCGCACCUGCAGCACCCCCUGCACCAGCCCGCGAGCCAGCGGCCCUCCAGCGGCAGCGCCUCGGCCUCAGGGUCCCCCAGCGACCCCGGCUUCAUGUCUCUGGACGAGUACGGCUCCAGCCCUGGGGACCUGAGAGCCUUCUGCAGCCACCGGAGCAACACGCCCGAGUCCAUUGCCGAGACGCCCCCGGCCCGGGACGGCAGCGGGGGCGAGCUGUACGGGUACAUGACCAUGGACAGGCCCCUGAGCCACUGUGGCCGCCCCUACCGCAGAGUCUCCGGGGACGGGGCCCAGGACGUGGACAGAGGCCUGAGGAAGCGGACGUACUCCCUGACCACACCUGCCCGGCAGCGGCCCGUGCCCCAGCCCUCCUCUGCGUCCCUGGACGAAUACACCCUGAUGCGGGUCUCCUUCUCUGGCAGCUCCGGCCGCCUCUGCCCGUCCUGCCCCGCCUCAUCUCCCAAAGCGGCCUACCACCCCUACCCCGAGGACUACGGGGACGUCGAGAUCGGCUCCCACAGGAGCUCCAGCAGUAACCUGGGUACGGACGACGGCUACAUGCCCAUGACCCCCGGCGCGGCCCUCACGGGGGGUGGCAGUGGCAGCUGUAGGAGUGACGACUACAUGCCUAUGAGCCCCACCAGCGUGUCUGCCCCAAAGCAGAUCCUGCAGCCUCGGGCUGCCGCUGCGGCCUUGCCCCCCGCGGGAGCGCCAGUGUCCACACCCGCGGCCGGCAGGGCCUUCCCGGCCAGCGGGGGCAGCUACAAGGCAAGCUCCCCGGCGGAGAGCUCCCCCGAGGACAGCGGGUACAUGCGUAUGUGGUGUGGCUCCAAGCUGUCCAUGGAGAACGCAGACAGCAAGCUGCUGCCCAACGGGGACUACCUCAACAUGUCCCCCAGCGACGCGGGCGCCUCGGGGACCCCUCCCGACUUCUUCUCGGCCGCCUUGCAUGGCAGCGGGGAGAUGCUCAGGGGAGUGCCCGGCUAUUGCCACAGCUCCCUGCCCCGCUCCUACAAGGCUCCCUACACCUGCAACGGGGACAACAACGACCAGUAUGUACUCAUGAGCUCUCCGGUGGGGCGCAUCCUGGAAGAGGAGAGGCUGGAGCCGCUGGCCAGCCCGGGGACGGCGCCGUCCAGCGGCUGCGGCGGUGGCGGCCACGCCCAGCCUCCUCACCCAGCAGUGCCUUCGCCUGGCAGGCCAGGUGGCAGCGUUGGCGGCCGCCCAGAGGGCUUCCUGAACCAGCGCUGCCGGGCCGUGCGGCCCACGCGCCUGUCCCUGGAGGGGCUUCAGACCCUGCCCAGCAUGCACGAAUACCCGCUGCCGCCCGAGCCCAAGAGCCCUGGCGAGUACAUCAACAUUGACUUCGGCGAUGCGGGAGCUCGCCUGUCGCCUCCCGCGCCUCCGCUGCUGGCCUCGGCCGCCUCGUCGUCCUCGCUGCUGUCCGCCAGCAGCCCGGCCUCCUCCCUGGGCUCGGGCACCCCGGGCACGAGCGGUGACAGCCGACAGCGCUCCCCGCUGUCCGACUACAUGAACCUCGACUUCAGCUCGCCCAAGUCACCCAAGCCGGGCCCCCAGGGCGGGGACCCUGUGGGCUCGCUGGACGCCCUCCUGUCCCCCGAGGCCUCCUCCCCCUAUCCGCCGCUGCCCCCGCGCCCUGCGGCGUCUGCCUCCGCCCUGCAGCCGCAGCCGCUGCCGCCGCCCCCUCCAGGCGAGCUGUACCGCCUGCCCCCCGCCCCCGCCGCCCAGGGCCCCAGCGCUGCCUCCUCGUCGUCCUCGGAGACUGGGGACAAUGGUGACUACACCGAGAUGGCCUUCGGCGUGGCUGCCACCCCGCCGCAACCCAUCGCCGCCCCCCCGAAGCCGGAAGGUGCCCGCGUGACCAGCCCCACGUCCGGCCUCAAGAGGCUGAGUCUCAGGGAUCAAGUGUCGGGAGUGGAGGCCUUCCUGCAGGCCAGCCAGCCCCCGGACCCGCACCGGGGGGCCAAGGUCAUCCGCGCAGACCCGCAGGGGGGCCGCCGCCGCCACAGCUCCGAGACCUUCUCCUCGACCACCACUGUGACCCCCGUGUCCCCGUCCUUCGCCCACAACCCGAAGCGCCACAACUCGGCCUCCGUGGAAAACGUCUCUCUCAGGAAAAGCAGCGAAGGGGCGGGCGGCGGUGGCCUGGCUGGGGGCGACGAGCGCCCCACGUCCCCCCGCCAGCUGCAGCCACCGCCCCCCCAGCAGGCGCGGCCGUGGCUACCGAGUCAGCCGGGGGGCUUGGUCGGGUGCCCCGGGGGCAGCGGCUCUCCGAUGCGCAGGGAGACCUCUGCCGGCUUCCAGAACGGCCUCAACUACAUCGCCAUCGACGUGAGGGACGAACCUGGGCUGUCGCCCGGCCCGCAGCAGCUUCCGCAUCCGCAGCCGGGAGACAAGAGCGCCUGGGGCCGGACCCGUAGCCUGGGGGGUCUCCUCAGCGCGGUGGGGGGCAGCAGCACCGGUGGGGUGUGCGGGGGACCCGGCCCCGGCGCCCUGCCCUCCGCCAACACCUAUGCCAGCAUUGACUUCCUGUCGCAUCACCUGAAGGAGGCCACCAUUGUGAAAGAGUGAGGAUCUGUCUGGCUUUAUCACCGUGACGUCACGCAUCAGAGAAUGACUUUCAAAGAAGAUGCUCACUAUUUUGUUUUUGUUUUUGUUUUUUUAAAAUCUGAAGCUGCUUACAAAUUUUCUUUUGGAUCUGAGCAAUGACUACAUUUUGGAACAUCUACGACUGUAUUAGACUCUGAACCCCCCAGGCGAGGACACCUGCCUCUCCCCCCCUGGUUCCCACAGGGGGCAUUCGUCAUUCUGCUGCUCGUGCUGUGUUUCGUUUGUUUUUUUUAACAAAAUUCGCCGAAGAAGGUAUUCUCAAGAAAAUCGGAUGUUUCCAUUGGCCCUUUAAAUUGUGGCCGGUGUCUUAAUUUCUUCUCACUUUCGUUUUGGCAAAGCAGAUUUAUCCCUCAGCAUGCUGGGAGAUGCUACCAACACCCAUGGAAGUGGGGCAAUCUGGUAUUUACUGGCAUGCACUCAAAACUACCACAGUCCUACCUCAGUUCCAGGUGAAGCCGGAUUUGUGUGGCCGGGGGCCGGCAGGACCUCCUGUACAUAGAUGUCUGCUGAGUGUCUCGAGUGCGGCCUUCAGCCUUAUUUAACUGGUCCCAGGAAACAGCGGCUCCGUGGAUCCAGUCCAGUGUUCUGAAAAGAUCGGUGUUGCGGUAAUCAUUGCAGGGGUCAUCCGAAACUGCUAACCUUGACCGGCAGAAUGUCCCGUCGUCUUGCUGCCCCACGUGACAGAGGGCUAUAGACCUUCCUCCCGCGGGCACGUCCGUGUCCGUGCUCCCCAUCUGCUCGGAUGGUCCCGGAGAGGCUACACUAAUUCAUUGGAGAUGUGAGCUUUUUUUUUUUUUUUUCUUUUUGGAGAAAAAUAUAUAUAAAUAUAUAGAUAUAUAUCACUAUAGAAUAAUGCAUUAAUAAAAUGAGGCUUUUUUAGAGGAAGACCAAAAAAUUCAAUGUCUUAAAAAUAUAUUUAAUGGCAAUGCAAAAGUCUUCCUGCUUCCGUGCUGAACUUUUAGAACAGAGGAUUGUAUUGCAAGACAAAGUUGAAUGUAAAGUGACCCCCCCGAACAUUUUUAAAGUUUUACUUUUCUAAAAUUACACAUCACAACAGUGUGUAGACCAUACGAUGUUAGUUUGAAGGUCAAUUUCAGUGUAUAAUACAGAUACUUUAUUAAAAUGUAUAAAAACGCCCCAAAGUUUGGAUUUCGUUUUGGGACUCGGGAUCGAUGGGUGGUAUUUGCUAUGUAACCCGCCCCCCUCCACCCCACCCCCUCCCCCGGGUACAGUGGGACUGACUCUGGACCCUGCUGGAUACAGUGUAUGAUGUGUAUUUAAGUAGUCCUCUAUACUUAGAGUAGUCACGCCUCUAUACAAAUGGUUCACGUUCAGACUGCCGCUUACAACAAGCAAAAUAAAAAGUUGGUAAUAUACUAAAUUUUCCUCCAUCCUGUACAUUUCAAAAAGAAAAAAGGCAUAUGCAAUAUUUACACUUUUAAUUUAGUUUACAGAAUGGAACCAAAAUGUAUAAAUGUUAUGUUUGCUAAAACUUCGCAAUGUAUAUUGGGUCUUUGUACAUUUUGCCUGACUUACCUUAAAUUUAAAAUAUUUUUUGCUAUAUAAACUUUAACAGUUAUUAAACAGUGUUUUCUUUUUGGGUACGUAUUGUUUCUGGAUAUCAAGAUGUUAAAUAUAUUUCUUGCUAUUGUGAUAUGACAAAAGACUUAACCUUGGUCUGUCUUCCAUUGUACACGCUGUAUAUAAGGGUCGAUGUGACGUUGCUGGAGACAGCAAUAAAUGGAAUUAGAAUAGUGCACUGUAUUUAGUCUGUCUUGAUCAUGGAUGCUCUCCUUAACAGCCAUAUGCAAUAAAAUAAAAUACGUUAUUUAUGAAA